GCAGACAACAGGUGUGCGUCUUCCGCGGGAAACGUGUGAGACGUAUUUUGCGUAUUUUGCUUCAUUCUUCGGUGUCUGAAGCCGCAAUGCGUGAUUAUAGGCGUUUAUUGUCAUUCGGGAACGGUUUGUGUUGUCAUGCAGGAAGGAAAAAAGCACAGACAAAGCGCCAUCGACAGUGUGAUUACCACCGAGUGCCAUGCAGAAACGUUUACGGUAGCACUCAAGUGCUGGCGUGUGACGUUAUUUUGCGUUAUUUAACGGCGUUUUAAGUCGUAUUAUUAUAAUAAAGCGUUUCUCGUGAUGAAGCAGUGUUAUGUUAACACAGAGCAAGAGGAAAUACUGACAAAGUACUACUUAAUUAAAUUUCAGUCGAGAAUUUUAGCUUAGUUUGUGAAGCCGGCCAGAAUGAAGACGUUUGUGCAAAGGUGUUUUGAUGGCGCACUCACAUACCAAGCCCGGGACAAUGGUGACUUUGAAAAUGAUCGGGAGGCUGUAACCUUGGAGUAAUGCGUUAGGCAGAACGCCGCCGCUCGUUUUACGGUUUCUUAGCGAAUGCUGGAAGGUCGAUUUUUUGGGACAUUAGGUAUGCGUCCUUCUGCGGACCAGGUGACAACAUUGAAGACUGCUUUGGGCUGCCCCCAGAUGACAAAAGUGCUCCAGAUCAUAAGGUCGUGAUCACAGGCAGCUAACUGCACCACUAUCUGUCCAAGAUGCCUCUAUAUGGUCCCCACUUCGCCAUAUACCUUCAACAAUACAUCGAUCUCUUCAUGAACUGAGGUUGACAACAUAUUGUUAUAUUUCUUUCUUUCUUGAUCGUAAUAUUUUUUAAAGUCAAUUUUGCUAUCAAAUUGCAUUGAGAAUUAUUCUUCAAUUCAAUGUAGUCUGUUGCUAAACUUUAGCUAGAAGAUAGGGUGCUUCAUGAAAUCAGGAUAGCUUAUCUUGCUUUUGACCUGAGAGGACCUGGAAGCUUACAUUUUCUGAUUGCCACAGUCCCCUGUAGUGAAAAGAAAAAUCUAAUACCAUCUUAUUAUUCAUUACACCCUGGAAACAUUCCCAGCAUCAUAUGCUGUGAAAUUUCACAGAUUU
Long non-coding RNA from Macrobrachium nipponense, 1086 nucleotides. RefSeq lists it as uncharacterized. NCBI's taxonomy places the organism in Eukaryota, Metazoa, Arthropoda, Malacostraca, Decapoda, Palaemonidae. The transcript has 3 exons. The record is from RefSeq and is a predicted model, not a curated record.